RNAcentral lists this ribosomal RNA (451 nucleotides) under Ralstonia solanacearum. Its description in RNAcentral is "bacterial SSU rRNA". It matches the Rfam family "Bacterial small subunit ribosomal RNA", at positions 47 to 489 of the family's 1533-position model. Lineage: Bacteria; Pseudomonadati; Pseudomonadota; Betaproteobacteria; Burkholderiales; Burkholderiaceae. The record is from RNAcentral.
CCUAACACAUGCAUGUCGAACGGCAGCGGGGGUAGCUUGCUACCUGCCGGCGAGUGGCGAACGGGUGAGUAAUACAUCGGAACGUGCCCUGUAGUGGGGGAUAACUAGUCGAAAGACUAGCUAAUACCGCAUACGACCUGAGGGUGAAAGUGGGGGACCGCAAGGCCUCAUGCUAUAGGAGCGGCCGAUGUCUGAUUAGCUAGUUGGUGGGGUAAAGGCCCACCAAGGCGACGAUCAGUAGCUGGUCUGAGAGGACGAUCAGCCACACUGGGACUGAGACACGGCCCAGACUCCUACGGGAGGCAGCAGUGGGGAAUUUUGGACAAUGGGGGCAACCCUGAUCCAGCAAUGCCGCGUGUGUGAAGAAGGCCUUCGGGUUGUAAAGCACUUUUGUCCGGAAAGAAAUCGCUUCGGUUAAUACCUGGAGUGGAUUACGGUACCCGAAGAAUAA